GCAAAACUCAUCAUGUUCCUUGCUUCUAUGGGCUUCACUUGAUCCUAAAAAGAGGCUGCAUAAUCCAUAAGGAGCUUUUUUAUG
Molecule: regulatory RNA element, 84 nt
Rfam family: RpsF leader
About the family: Conserved and widely distributed to many bacterial species RNA structure. It precedes operon containing rpsF, which encodes ribosomal protein S6. The motif also precedes operon containing rpsR, which encodes ribosomal protein S18.
Source: Rfam